RNAcentral lists this ribosomal RNA (117 nucleotides) under Ruminococcus sp. zg-924. RNAcentral also lists the same sequence under 1 other name. Lineage: Bacteria; Bacillati; Bacillota; Clostridia; Eubacteriales; Oscillospiraceae. The record is from RNAcentral.
GUUGGUAUUGAUGACACUGAGGGUCCACCUGUUCCCAUACCGAACACAGAAGUUAAGCUCAGCGGUGCCGAAAAUACUUGGCUGGAGACGGCCCGGGAAAAUAGGGAGAUGCCAACA